GACGAACGCUGGCGGCGUGCCUAAUACAUGCAAGUAGAACGCUGAAGGAGGAGCUUGCAUCUCUGGAUGAGUUGCGAACGGGUGAGUAACGCGUAGGUAACCUGCCUGGUAGCGGGGGAUAACUAUUGGAAACGAUAGCUAAUACCGCAUAAUAGCAGUUAUUGCAUGAUAACUGUUUGAAAGGUGCAAUUGCACCACUACCAGAUGGACCUGCGUUGUAUUAGCUAGUUGGUGGGGUAACGGCUCACCAAGGCGACGAUACAUAGCCGACCUGAGAGGGUGAUCGGCCACACUGGGACUGAGACACGGCCCAGACUCCUACGGGAGGCAGCAGUAGGGAAUCUUCGGCAAUAGACGGAAGUCUGACCGAGCAACGCCGCGUGAGUGAAGAAGGUUUUCGGAUCGUAAAGCUCUGUUGUAAGAGAAGAACGAGUGUGAGAGUGGAAAGUUCACACUGUGACGGUAUCUUACCAGAAAGGGACGGCUAACUACGUG
RNAcentral lists this ribosomal RNA (495 nucleotides) under uncultured bacterium. Its description in RNAcentral is "partial 16S ribosomal RNA". It matches the Rfam family "Bacterial small subunit ribosomal RNA", at positions 28 to 507 of the family's 1533-position model. The record is from RNAcentral.